Eucalyptus grandis is the source of this 1028-nucleotide long non-coding RNA. RefSeq lists it as uncharacterized. The record is from RefSeq and is a predicted model, not a curated record. The transcript has 5 exons. NCBI's taxonomy places the organism in Eukaryota, Viridiplantae, Streptophyta, Magnoliopsida, Myrtales, Myrtaceae.
GAUGCAGAGGCAGCAGACAUAGCUUCGAUUAUACCGGUGCCGAGACGCAGAGGAAGGUUUUCUGUUUCUUCUGAACCGCGAGACUUGCCAUGGGCGUCAUCCUUGGGUCUUUCGAGCUGCGAUCUGGGUCUUCCGAGCUGUGAUCUUGUUAGAUGUGUAGAUUCGGUGGCUUUGAGAGGUUGGGCAUCAGUUGCAGGGGUGAAAUCGACGACAGCAAUUGUUCCGCUGGUCAGGGGGGAGUGACCGGUGGGGUCUGGUCUGAGUCGCGGGCGUUCUUCCGUAGCACAGAGGCAGAGGAACGUCUUUCUCUACGAUCCGAAGCACGAAGCAUGCUAUAUUGAGCAUCUUUCACUGGUCUUUUAUCUAGCAAUGGUGCUGGUAGUCUGGGUUCUUGAUCUUCGGUUAAAAACGAGGAACUCUCGAGUCGAUGAUCUUCGGUUGCAAAGGCGUUGGGUUCGGAAGCGAUGAUUCCACAUGUCUCUUCCACAUCUCCAGCACUAUAUAGCACAGGCGGGGACCUGCUGAUGCCAGGAUGGGGAUCAAUCAGUAUUUCCGCUUCAGUUCUAUGUCUGCAUAUCCCGAGAGGGCUAAGGUCUUCAUGAGGCUGUACAGACGGUGCGCACUGUGUCGAGGCUGGACUUCUUGACUCUGAACAAGAUGAUAUAGGCUGGACUUGUACCUCCGGUGACCUGUUGGUAUCACCAAUGAUAUUAAAUGAGGCAUCAAUAUUAACUAUAAGAGUUCCAGGUGGUGGAGGAUGCCAUUUUUCAUAUUCCCCUUGGCAUUGAUUCUUUUUUGGGGCUUUUCUAUUCCAAGCAGAGAAACAGUCCUUUGAUGUGGUGGCAUUGAACAAGGUUCGGUGCAGAUUUAAGGGAUGAGUCGUUCCACACUUGGGUCGUCCAGGGGCAGAGCAUUAAAGUGUGCUCAAUCGUCUCGGGUUCCAACUUGCAUAUUGGGCAUAACGGUUCAGGAUGUUGUCCUGAAUUUGUCGACUCCCGACGAAAGCGCUCGCUCCUCAAAAUGAUGUC